This 253-nucleotide ribosomal RNA is filed under the name uncultured bacterium. RNAcentral describes it as "partial 16S ribosomal RNA". It matches the Rfam family "Bacterial small subunit ribosomal RNA", at positions 524 to 776 of the family's 1533-position model. The record is from RNAcentral.
UACGAAGGGGGCUAGCGUUGCUCGGAAUCACUGGGCGUAAAGGGUGCGUAGGCGGGUAUUUAAGUCAGGGGUGAAAUCCUGGAGCUCAACUCCAGAACUGCCUUUGAUACUGAGUAUCUUGAGUACGGGAGAGGUGAGUGGAACUGCGAGUGUAGAGGUGAAAUUCGUAGAUAUUCGCAAGAACACCAGUGGCGAAGGCGGCUCACUGGCCCGGUACUGACACUGAGGUGCGAAAGCGUGGGGAGCAAACAGG